CCUACGUGUGGCUGCAGUGGGGAAUAUUGGACAAUGGGGGGAACCCUGAUCCAGCGACGCCGCGUGAGUGAAGAAGUAUUUCGGUAUGUUAAGCUCUAUCAGCAGGGAAGUAAGAAAUGACGGUACUUGACUAAGAAGCCCCGGCUAACUACGUGCAAGCAGCCGCGGUAAUACGUAGGGUGCAAGCGUUAUCCGGAUUUACUGGGUGUAAAGGGAGCGUAGACGGUUACGCAAGUCUGGAGUGAAAGGCGGGGGCCCAACCCCCGGACUGCUUUGGAAACUGUAUAACUGGAGUGCAGGAGAGGUAAGUGGAAUGCCUAGUGUAGCGGUGAAAUGCGUAGAUAUUAGGAAGAACACCAGUGGCGAAGGCGGCUUACUGGACUGUAACUGACGUUGAGGCUCGAAAGCGUGGGGAGCAAACAGGAUUAGAUACCCCAGUAGUC
Molecule: ribosomal RNA, 443 nt
Filed under: uncultured bacterium
Lineage: Bacteria
Description: partial 16S ribosomal RNA
Rfam family: Bacterial small subunit ribosomal RNA
Source: RNAcentral